UGUUGGUGCGAACCAUAGCCUAUCCAACAAGAAGGGAUGAUAAUGAAAGGCAAUGAGAUUGUUUGGAGAAAAACAACAACAGCUCCAAGACACUCCAAAUCAUUAGAAAAUAUAACAACCAGCAUGGUGUGAGGCCAGCUAUGCCAGGUUAAACCCUGAAGACACCAAAGGGUGUCAAAACAAGAACCCAUGGAACAGGAGAGAAUGGCAGGGGAAGGCCAGCUGAGCUCAGCGGGUCUCUACUCUCUUCCUCUGAGCACCACACCUUUUUUACUGUAAGUUCUUAAUGGGAAGUGAUAGUGGGGGGAGGGAGUGACACCCAGGAGAGUCGGUGCAUACAGACCAGCUCUUUUUGCUUCACACACCUGCUGAUAUACACACAGUCUCCUCCUGUCAGGAUCCUCAUGGGGAACAUGCCUUAAUUAAACUUAAGUAUUAAUGAGGAAGUUCAGUCCACUGUCAUUGUUGUGUUUUCCGCAUACAAAACCGCUGAGGUGUGUGACAGUACCAGUGUAAUUCAUUAGGUUUGUCCUGCUGCACGUGAGAUUUACACUUUGUCUGCCAAUAGACAUCAAAUGUCCUGUGUUUGAUCAUGUUCUACAAAUGCAAGACAUCCUCAAAUGUCAAGUUUGGUCGUGGUCUUGAAUCUGGUUCUAGAUUAUUCAGAGGACAGAAAAGGACUUUGAGAAUUUUCCAUGACCAUCUUAAUUUUUUAAUUUUUACCUUUAGCACGAAGAGUUUGGGAUGAAGGGUUAGUUAACGACCAGGUCAUGUUCUCUUUCUAUAUUCGUAGCAGUUUCUUUUCUGUUCUGUUAAAACCUAAAGGUCCUCAACGGUUCAAAGAGAUUGAUUGGUGACUAAACAUCCUUUACUGUCCCAGGUAUAUACGAUGUCACGACAUUUGCCAUCAGCAGCUCUGAGAUAUGUGCCAAUACAUCAGCUGUUGAUACUACCCCAUGGUUAUAGACACCUACACACCAUCACAGAUGGUGUCUUUUACACCUUUGCUGUGAAAUAGUAUGGAGGGGUUUUUUUUUUUAAAGCUAUGCCACCAGGCAUUUGAUAUUCCAAAAACCAAGCAGACACAUGGACCUAGAAGAUUCCAUCACGUCAGAAUUCUCUGCUAUCUUUCCUGUGAAACUUUGUUUGUGAUAGACAAUUGUCUCCGUGGUUUCUCAGCGUCUCAACCCACUCCUGCUUGAACAAGGGCCAAGUGUUGUGUUGCAUGUUCCAUCGUUAAAUCGGAUUCAACACCCCCUCAUUGAGGACCACCGUCUUAGCAUUUACUGCAAAGGUGUAAGCCAGGUCCCAGAUGUUUUACAUGUAAAUGAGCUCACCUUCUCACUUUGCUGUGUGAGAACAAACACGUGUGUGUGUGUGUGAGACAAAGGCAACAAAAUAACAUUGAAUUUAUUCACUUUUCUCCAAACGCAUAGUUAAACAGUUGCUGUCCUCACAUCUAGGUGUUUCAUUUUCACCUCACAUUCAAACUGAAUUUAUUUUCAGUGCUGCAGCCUCACCAGUCACAUACAAACCCUUUACUGCAAAUUAAAACACACACACACAAAACAGAUGCACGCAUUAACACAUCUGACAACAAUUCUCUCCAGCACUGUUGUUUGUUAUACACCAGCUUCGCACACACACAUACACACAUCUCCUUUUUCCUCUCCAUCUCUCUCUUGUCCCCUCCCCUCCUCUUCCUCUCCACCCAUCCCUAGUCACAGCUCACUGUCAACAGAGCAGGAUUAGGAGCAUUUGACUGGCUUGUUGCUAAGCAACUGUAGCCACGGCAACUUAUUCAUUAUGAAGACAGGGAUGGGACAGGGAAAAUGCAUCAGGGAAUGGGUUGAUGGGUAAAUUUUGUACUGUAAUUCUUAUGGAGUGCUUUUGGUCUUGGGUGAGUCGGUGCAUUAAACAAAGCUGGGCGUCAGUCUGGCUGCACUGCUUUGUUCUCUGCCUGUGUGACAGCCUUUUGAAGGUUAGGAUCACUAAGACGUUCUGUGGACACAACAAAAUGUGUCUCCUCUGAUGAGGACCUUCUUAGUCUCUGAAGCAGCCUGGAAAAUCAUAUCUCUAACAAACGUGCGUUAGAUAGAUUGUUUACCACACAUUAAGAUAUUUUUUAUAUUUUCUUUCCAUAUUCUAUGCAAGCAGUCAAAUAUCAGAACUGAUAAAAAAAAUGCAAUUGUGAAACUUUUAGAAAAGGAGAAGUAAAAAUAGAAGAUGUGAAAAAAUGACCUGAAACCAUUGCUUACCCCCUAACAAUUAGACAAACCCAGUUGUUGCAAUGUUAUUAUUAUUUCAUAAACCGUCCACCAUCCAACCCAGGCCGUCCUCCACCGACGUUAGCCAACAAUCUAACAGACCAGACGUUUGUUUGUGACUGAUUGAAUUUGUAUAGACUCUUUGGCAGUGGAACAUCUUCUGUUGAUCGUUCCUUGUUUUCCCAUUCCGUCUAUAAUUGUUCUUUAUUAUAAUAACAAGUUGUUUUUCCUUGUACCUGUGAACUCCCGUUGCUCCAUUCUGCUAAUUCUCACAGGUACAGACUUGCACUUUAGUCUGUGAACUCAAUUAACACCAUACCGCAUUUUUCUCCUCAGACUUUAUUUUUAACUUGCAAAACUAAUUGAUUUCCUGUUCUGACCUGACACAAUGUUCACCCUGUUUUAUCCACACCAGCCUUCAGUUUUCAGGCCAGCUCUGUUACAGGGACAUUUGCCCCAAGUUUGUGAUGUAGCUCCAAAACUAUUUCUGAUCCAGACAGUUAAAACCACUGAGGUAAACUUAGGUACUGCAAACUCCCAAAGACAUAGGGAUUUAUUGCUGUGAAGUAACAGAAAAUAGAUGACCCACCAUUGUAUCUGACGUUGACCCCACUUUUAUCCAAGCAUUCAAAUAUACAGCGACUAUCAGAGUAUUCAAAAAACAUAAGCAGGAGGAGGAUGUGCUGGAAUUAUUUGAAUUCCAGAACUAUUUAAAGAAGAUAAUGGCAUUUUUUCUUUUUCUUUCCAUGUAGAAAUACUUAAGGGAGGCUGCAUGAGACGUUGCAACCUCUUAAUGUUGACAAAGUAAAGAGGGAAAUGAUCUAUUGAAUGUUCCUGUGUGAUUGUUUUGGUCUUUUUUUAAUGUGCGGACUAAUAUUUGCAUUAUGUAUUUGUGUUUGCAUUUCUUUUAAAAACACAAAGUACCUAAGGUAUCUAAUAUCAAAACAUGGCUCACCAAAGAUUAUCCACCAAAAAUAGAUUCUCUUCUUUUAGGAAAAUCAUUCUAUUGAUAUCUAUAAUUUUGUUGGACAUUAAAUAUUGAAAUAUUACUAAGAUAUUUAUGUUCUCUCUGGCUUUCAGGUCAUCAGUUUUAGACAUCUUGUAGCAGUGAAAAUUGAAAUUUUCAU
Molecule: long non-coding RNA, 3394 nt
Organism: Cynoglossus semilaevis (tongue sole)
Lineage: Eukaryota; Metazoa; Chordata; Actinopteri; Pleuronectiformes; Cynoglossidae
Exons: 3
Source: RefSeq, a predicted model, not a curated record